This 1573-nucleotide ribosomal RNA is filed under the name Escherichia coli. Its description in RNAcentral is "partial 23S ribosomal RNA". It matches the Rfam family "Bacterial large subunit ribosomal RNA", at positions 1241 to 2798 of the family's 2925-position model. The record is from RNAcentral. Lineage: Bacteria; Pseudomonadati; Pseudomonadota; Gammaproteobacteria; Enterobacterales; Enterobacteriaceae.
CUGUAAGCCUGUGAAGGUGUGCUGUGAGGCAUGCUGGAGGUAUCAGAAGUGCGAAUGCUGACAUAAGUAACGAUAAAGCGGGUGAAAAGCCCGCUCGCCGGAAGACCAAGGGUUCCUGUCCAACGUUAAUCGGGGCAGGGUGAGUCGACCCCUAAGGCGAGGCCGAAAGGCGUAGUCGAUGGGAAACAGGUUAAUAUUCCUGUACUUGGUGUUACUGCGAAGGGGGGACGGAGAAGGCUAUGUUGGCCGGGCGACGGUUGUCCCGGUUUAAGCGUGUAGGCUGGUUUUCCAGGCAAAUCCGGAAAAUCAAGGCUGAGGCGUGAUGACGAGGCACUACGGUGCUGAAGCAACAAAUGCCCUGCUUCCAGGAAAAGCCUCUAAGCAUCAGGUAACAUCAAAUCGUACCCCAAACCGACACAGGUGGUCAGGUAGAGAAUACCAAGGCGCUUGAGAGAACUCGGGUGAAGGAACUAGGCAAAAUGGUGCCGUAACUUCGGGAGAAGGCACGCUGAUAUGUAGGUGAAGCGACUUGCUCGUGGAGCUGAAAUCAGUCGAAGAUACCAGCUGGCUGCAACUGUUUAUUAAAAACACAGCACUGUGCAAACACGAAAGUGGACGUAUACGGUGUGACGCCUGCCCGGUGCCGGAAGGUUAAUUGAUGGGGUCAGCGCAAGCGAAGCUCUUGAUCGAAGCCCCGGUAAACGGCGGCCGUAACUAUAACGGUCCUAAGGUAGCGAAAUUCCUUGUCGGGUAAGUUCCGACCUGCACGAAUGGCGUAAUGAUGGCCAGGCUGUCUCCACCCGAGACUCAGUGAAAUUGAACUCGCUGUGAAGAUGCAGUGUACCCGCGGCAAGACGGAAAGACCCCGUGAACCUUUACUAUAGCUUGACACUGAACAUUGAGCCUUGAUGUGUAGGAUAGGUGGGAGGCUUGGAAGUGUGGACGCCAGUCUGCAUGGAGCCGACCUUGAAAUACCACCCUUUAAUGUUUGAUGUUCUAACGUUGACCCGUAAUCCGGGUUGCGGACAGUGUCUGGUGGGUAGUUUGACUGGGGCGGUCUCCUCCUAAAGAGUAACGGAGGAGCACGAAGGUUGGCUAAUCCUGGUCGGACAUCAGGAGGUUAGUGCAAUGGCAUAAGCCAGCUUGACUGCGAGCGUGACGGCGCGAGCAGGUGCGAAAGCAGGUCAUAGUGAUCCGGUGGUUCUGAAUGGAAGGGCCAUCGCUCAACGGAUAAAAGGUACUCCGGGGAUAACAGGCUGAUACCGCCCAAGAGUUCAUAUCGACGGCGGUGUUUGGCACCUCGAUGUCGGCUCAUCACAUCCUGGGGCUGAAGUAGGUCCCAAGGGUAUGGCUGUUCGCCAUUUAAAGUGGUACGCGAGCUGGGUUUAGAACGUCGUGAGACAGUUCGGUCCCUAUCUGCCGUGGGCGCUGGAGAACUGAGGGGGGCUGCUCCUAGUACGAGAGGACCGGAGUGGACGCAUCACUGGUGUUCGGGUUGUCAUGCCAAUGGCACUGCCCGGUAGCUAAAUGCGGAAGAGAUAAGUGCUGAAAGCAUCUAAGCACGAAACUUGCC